This 405-nucleotide ribosomal RNA is filed under the name uncultured bacterium. Its description in RNAcentral is "partial 16S ribosomal RNA". It matches the Rfam family "Bacterial small subunit ribosomal RNA", at positions 30 to 526 of the family's 1533-position model. The record is from RNAcentral.
AUUGAACGCUAGCGGGAUGCUUUACACAUGCAAGUCGAACGAGUGGCGGACGGGUGAGUAAUAUAUCGGAACGUGCCCAGUAGCGGGGGAUAACUACUCGAAAGAGUGGAUAAUACCGCAUACUAUAGGAGCGGCCGAUAUCGGAUUAGCUUGUUGGUGGGGUAAAGGCUCACCAAGGCAACGAUCCUUAGCUGGUUGGAGUGGACGACCCGCCACACUGGGACUGAGACACGGCCCGCACUCCGACGGAAGGCAGCCGUGGGGAAUUUUGGACAGUUGGGGAAACCCCGAUCCAGCCAUCCCGCGUGUAUGAGAAGGCCUUCGGGUUGUAAAGGACUUUUGGCAGAGAUGCGGUAUCUGCAGAAUAAGCACCGGCUAACUACGUGCCAGCAGCCGCGGUAAUUC